CAGGACAGGUACAGCACAGGCAGUGACAGUGCGACCUUUCCCCACACCACCCCGUCCAUGUGCCUCAACCCUGACCUGGAGGGACCACCUCUAGA
RNAcentral lists this small RNA (95 nucleotides) under Chlorocebus sabaeus (green monkey). Its description in RNAcentral is "TUC338 (ENSCSAG00000026765.1)". Lineage: Eukaryota; Metazoa; Chordata; Mammalia; Primates; Cercopithecidae. The record is from RNAcentral.